Lytechinus pictus (painted urchin) is the source of this 96-nucleotide small nucleolar RNA. RefSeq annotates it as small nucleolar SNORD12/SNORD106. The record is from RefSeq and is a predicted model, not a curated record. The transcript has a single exon. Lineage: Eukaryota; Metazoa; Echinodermata; Echinoidea; Temnopleuroida; Toxopneustidae.
AGAGCUUGUUAUGAUGAUGUUUACUUUUUUCCCCAGCUUAUCGAUAUAUGCUGAUAAACUCGCUAUCAAAAGCCAGUACAAAUCUGAACAAGCUCA